GACGAACGCUGGCGGCGUGCUUAACACAUGCAAGUCGAACGGAAAGGCCUGCUUUCCCUUGUGGAUUGCGGGUACUCGAGUGGCGAACGGGUGAGUAACGCGUGAGUGAUCUGCCCCCAACUUGGGUAUAAGCCUGGGAAACUGGGUCUAAUUCCCGAUAGGACUGCAGGGUGGUGCCUGUGGUGGAAAACGAUUUUCUAGUGGUUGGGGAUGAGCUCGCGGCCUAUCAGCUUGUUGGUGGGGUAAUGGCCUACCAAGGCGGCGACGGGUAGCCGGCCUGAGAGGGUGGACGGCCACAUUGGGACUGAGAUACGGCCCAGACUCCUACGGGAGGCAGCAGUGGGGAAUAUUGCACAAUGGGCGGAAGCCUGAGGCAGCGACGCCGCGUGGGGGAUGACGGCCUUCGGGUUGUAAACUCCUUUCGACCGCGAGGAAGCCACCUGGUUGGAAGGGUGGUGACGGUAGUGGUAGAAGAAGCACCGGCUAACUACGUG
This 494-nucleotide ribosomal RNA is filed under the name uncultured bacterium. Its description in RNAcentral is "partial 16S ribosomal RNA". It matches the Rfam family "Bacterial small subunit ribosomal RNA", at positions 28 to 507 of the family's 1533-position model. The record is from RNAcentral.